UCUCAAAACACUAUCGUGAAUCAGAAAACCCUAGCAACAUCUGCCUUGAAGCGAUCUCAGCAUAGCUCGUAGUUCUCAGCGUUUCAUCUGUGUUUUCUCAAAACCGAGAAAGCACAGGUCUUCCUAGCAGCGAUCUCAACUCAAUCUCUAUUUUCUACCUUACUCGAAUUUCAGAUGGCAACUAUGCCAUGCACUGCUAAGGGACAUGGUUGGCUAAGGCCUGCAAUUGGAGUCGUCGAGCUCUCCCAGUGCAUAAUUCAGGUCUUUGAUUUAAUGUUGUUUAAGCAAUACUUCUGUGAUCGUGUCAAAUGACUUAUUUACUACUACUAAAGUGACUGUAAGCAUAGUUUUAUCAUUCAACUACUAAAGUUUAGGUUGAUUUAGCAGAAAGGGAGUAUUUAGCAAAGUCUUUACAUCUAUGAGGAGGUACUUUGAUUAUGUUUUGAUUUAAAGGGAGGUAACCUACUAUCUCUACCAUACACAUGGGAACAAAUUAGAUAUUCCUUGUUGACUAGACCUGGAAACUGAGACUGGUUGGCCCAGGAGACUGACCUAACAUGCACAGAAAAUGGGGACCAAAAUUGUCCCAGGCAGGCUGGGCUGGUCCUGAUUGUCGCCCAAAAUCAAUGCAGACCGAGCUAGGCUAGCUAUUGGAAUGGACCAGGACCGGGUGGGCUUGUAAUAAAAAGUGGCAAAUAGGCGGCUGGGCUGAAUCUGGGCAGGUCAAGUCGUCAAGAUGGUGCUGUAAGGAAGGGAGGAGAACAAGAACUUACAUACUUAAUCAUGUCUUCUAGUCAAGGAACGGGAGCGAUACACAAGAACUCCAUGGUUCUUAAGCUACACUAUAUGAAAGU
Solanum tuberosum (potato) is the source of this 854-nucleotide long non-coding RNA. RefSeq lists it as uncharacterized. Lineage: Eukaryota; Viridiplantae; Streptophyta; Magnoliopsida; Solanales; Solanaceae. The record is from RefSeq and is a predicted model, not a curated record. The transcript has 4 exons.